RNAcentral lists this ribosomal RNA (484 nucleotides) under uncultured bacterium. RNAcentral describes it as "partial 16S ribosomal RNA". It matches the Rfam family "Bacterial small subunit ribosomal RNA", at positions 30 to 507 of the family's 1533-position model. The record is from RNAcentral.
AUUGAACGCUGGCGGCAGGCCUAACACAUGCAAGUCGAGCGGAUGAAGGGAGCUUGCUCCUGGAUUCAGCGGCGGACGGGUGAGUAAUGCCUAGGAAUCUGCCUGGUAGUGGGGGAUAACGUCCGGAAACGGGCGCUAAUACCGCAUACGUCCUGAGGGAGAAAGUGGGGGAUCUUCGGACCUCACGCUAUCAGAUGAGCCUAGGUCGGAUUAGCUAGUUGGUGGGGUAAAGGCCUACCAAGGCGACGAUCCGUAACUGGUCUGAGAGGAUGAUCAGUCACACUGGAACUGAGACACGGUCCAGACUCCUACGGGAGGCAGCAGUGGGGAAUAUUGGACAAUGGGUGAAAGCCUGAUCCAGCCAUGCCGCGUGUGUGAAGAAGGUCUUCGGAUUGCAAAGCACUUUAAGUUGGGAGGAAGGGCAGUAAGUUAAUACCUUGCUGUUUUGACGUUACCAACAGAAUAAGCACCGGCUAACUUCGUG